GAAACUGACGGAACUCUUCGGAGGGAAGGCAGUGGAAUGAGCGGCGGACGGGUGAGUAACACGUAAGGAACCUGCCUCAAGGAUUGGGAUAACUCCGAGAAAUCGGAGCUAAUACCGGAUAGUUCAACGGACCGCAUGGUCCGCUGAUGAAAGGCGCUUCGGCGUCACCUUGAGAUGGCCUUGCGGUGCAUUAGCUAGUUGGUGGGGUAACGGCCCACCAAGGCGACGAUGCAUAGCCGACCUGAGAGGGUGAUCGGCCACACUGGGACUGAGACACGGCCCAGACUCCUACGGGAGGCAGCAGUAGGGAAUCUUCCACAAUGGACGAAAGUCUGAUGGAGCAACGCCGCGUGAGUGAUGAAGGUUUUCGGAUCGUAAAACUCUGUUGUAAGGGAAGAACACGUACGAGAGGAAAUGCUCGUACCUUGACGGUACCUUACGAGAAAGCCACGGCUAACUACGUGCCAGCAGCCGCGGUAAUACGUAGGUGGCAAGCGUUGUCCGGAAUUAUUGGGCGUAAAGCGCGCGCAGGCGGCCUUUUAAGUCUGAUGUGAAAGCCCCCGGCUCAACCGGGGAGGGCCAUUGGAAACUGGAAGGCUUGAGUACAGAAGAGAAGAGUGG
RNAcentral lists this ribosomal RNA (621 nucleotides) under Exiguobacterium acetylicum. RNAcentral describes it as "bacterial SSU rRNA". It matches the Rfam family "Bacterial small subunit ribosomal RNA", at positions 64 to 664 of the family's 1533-position model. The record is from RNAcentral. Lineage: Bacteria; Bacillati; Bacillota; Bacilli; Caryophanales.